AGUGAAAGAGGCAGUUGAGGGGAAUCUCUUAAGGGACUUCAGUACUAAGUAACCUCCUCCAUUUUGAGUUUGUGUUUAUACCCAGGUCUUUAAUUGAUUUGAUUCUAAGAAGGGGCUGUGUUUAUACCCAGGUCUUUAAUUGAUUUGAUUCUAAGAAGGGGCUGUGUGUUUAUACCCAGGUCUUUAAUUGAUUUGAUUCUAAGGGGCUGUGUGUUUAUACCCAGGUCUGUUAUUGAUUUGAUUCUAAGGGGCUGUGUUUAUACCCAGGUCUGUUAUUGAUUUGAUUCUAAGAAGGGGCUGUGUUUAUACCCAGGUCUGUUAUUGAUUUGAUUCUAAGGGGCUGUGUUUAUACCCAGGUCUGUUAUUGAUUUGAUUCUAAGGGGCUGUGUGUUUAUACCCAGGUCUGUUAUUGAUUUGAUUCUAAGAAGGGGCUGUGUUUAUACCCAGGUCUGUUAUUGAUUUGAUUCUAAGGGGCUGUGUGUUUAUACCCAGGUCUUUAAUUGAUUUGAUUCUAAGGGGCUGUGUGUUUAUACCCAGGUCUGUUAUUGAUUUGAUUCUAAGGGGCUGUGUUUAUACCCAGGUCUGUUAUUGAUUUGAUUCUAAGGGGCUGUGUGUUUAUACCCAGGUCUGUUAUUGAUUUGAUUCUAAGAAGGGGCUGUGUGUUUAUACCCAGGUCUGUUAUUGAUUUGAUUCUAAGAAGGGGCUGUGUGUUUAUACCCAGGUCUGUUAUUGAUUUGAUUCUAAGGGGCUGUGUUUAUACCCAGGUCUGUUAUUGAUUUGAUUCUAAGGGGCUGUGUGUUUAUACCCAGGUCUGUUAUUGAUUUGAUUCUAAGAAGGGGCCGUGUGUUUAUACCCAGGUCUGUUAUUGAUUUGAUUCUAAGAAGGGGCUGUGUUUAUACCCAGGUCUGUUAUUGAUUUGAUUCUAAGGGGCUGUGUUUAUACCCAGGUCUGUUAUUGAUUUGAUUCUAAGGGGCUGUGUUUAUACCCAGGUCUUUAAUUGAUUUGAUUCUAAGAAGGGGCUGUGUUUAUACCCAGGUCUUUAAUUGAUUUGAUUCUAAGAAGGGGCUGUGUUUAUACCCAGGUCUUUAAUUGAUUUGAUUCUAAGAAGGGGCUGUGUUUAUACCCAGGUCUUUAAUUGAUUUGAUUCUAAGAAGGGGCUGUGUGUUUAUACCCAGGUCUGUUAUUGAUUUGAUUCUAAGGGGCUGUGUUUAUACCCAGGUCUGUUAUUGAUUUGAUUCUAAGAAGGGGCUGUGUUUAUACCCAGGUCUGUUAUUGAUUUGAUUCUAAGAAGGGGCCGUGUUUAUACCCAGGUCUGUUAUUGAUUUGAUUCUAAGAAGGGGCCGUGUUUAUACCCAGGUCUGUUAUUGAUUUGAUUCUAAGAAGGGGCCGUGUUUAUACCCAGGUCUCUUAUUGAUUUGAUUCUAAGAAGGGGCCGUGUGUUUAUACCCAGGUCUGUUAUUGAUUUGAUUCUAAGAAGGGGCUGUGUUUAUACCCAGGUCUGUUAUUGAUUUGAUUCUAAGAAGGGGCCGUGUUUAUACCCAGGUCUGUUAUUGAUUUGAUUCUAAGAAGGGGCCGUGUUUAUACCCAGGUCUGUUAUUGAUUUGAUUCUAAGAAGGGGCUGUGUUUAUACCCAGGUCUGUUAUUGAUUUGAUUCUAAGAAGGGGCUGUGUUUAUACCCAGGUCUGUUAUUGAUUUGAUUCUAAGAAGGGGCUGUGUUUAUACCCAGGUCUGUUAUUGAUUUGAUUCUAAGAAGGGGCUGUGUUUAUACCCAGGUCUUUAAUUGAUUUGAUUCUAAGAAGGGGCUGUGUUUAUACCCAGGUCUGUUAUUGAUUUGAUUCUAAGAAGGGGCUGUGUUUAUACCCAGGUCUGUUAUUGAUUUGAUUCUAAGAAGGGGCUGUGUUUAUACCCAGGUCUGUUAUUGAUUUGAUUCUAAGAAGGGGCUGUGUUUAUACCCAGGUCUGGUAUUGAUUUGAUUCUAAGAAGGGGCUGUGUUUAUACCCAGGUCUUUAAUUGAUUUGAUUCUAAGAAGGGGCUGUGUUUAUACCCAGGUCUGUUAUUGAUUUGAUUCUAAGAAGGGGCUGUGUUUAUACCCAGGUCUGUUAUUGAUUUGAUUCUAAGAAGGGGCUGUGUUUAUACCCAGGUCUGUUAUUGAUUUGAUUCUAAGAAGGGGCUGUGUUUAUACCCAGGUCUGGUAUUGAUUUGAUUCUAAGAAGGGGCUGUGUUUAUACCCAGGUCUUUAAUUGAUUUGAUUCUAAGAAGGGGCUGUGUUUAUACCCAGGUCUGUUAUUGAUUUGAUUCUAAGAAGGGGCUGUGUUUAUACCCAGGUCUGUUAUUGAUUUGAUUCUAAGAAGGGGCUGUGUUUAUACCCAGGUCUGUUAUUGAUUUGAUUCUAAGAAGGGGCUGUGUGUUUAUACCCAGGUCUGUUAUUGAUUUGAUUCUAAGAAGGGGCUGUGUUUAUACCCAGGUCUGUUAUUGAUUUGAUUCUAAGAAGGGGCUGUGUUUAUACCCAGGUCUGUUAUUGAUUUGAUUCUAAGGGGCUGUGUUUAUACCCAGGUCUGUUAUUGAUUUGAUUCUAAGAAGGGGCUGUGUUUAUACCCAGGUCUGUUAUUGAUUUGAUUCUAAGGGGCUGUGUGUUUAUACCCAGGUCUGUUAUUGAUUUGAUUCUAAGGGGCUGUGUGUUUAUACCCAGGUCUGUUAUUGAUUUGAUUCUAAGGGGCUGUGUUUAUACCCAGGUCUGUUAUUGAUUUGAUUCUAAGGGGCUGUGUGUUUAUACCCAGGUCUGUUAUUGAUUUGAUUCUAAGAAGGGGCUGUGUGUUUAUACCCAGGUCUUUAAUUGAUUUGAUUCUAAGGGGCUGUGUGUUUAUACCCAGGUCUGUUAUUGAUUUGAUUCUAAGAAGGGGCUGUGUGUUUAUACCCAGGUCUGUUAUUGAUUUGAUUCUAAGAAGGGGCUGUGUUUAUACCCAGGUCUGUUAUUGAUUUGAUUCUAAGAAGGGGCUGUGUGUUUAUACCCAGGUCUGUUAUUGAUUUGAUUCUAAGAAGGGGCUGUGUUUAUACCCAGGUCUGUUAUUGAUUUGAUUCUAAGAAGGGGCUGUGUUUAUACCCAGGUCUGUUAUUGAUUUGAUUCUAAGAAGGGGCUGUGUUUAUACCCAGGUCUGUUAUUGAUUUGAUUCUAAGAAGGGGCUGUGUUUAUACCCAGGUCUGUUAUUGAUUUGAUUCUAAGAAGGGGCUGUGUGUUUAUACCCAGGUCUGUUAUUGAUUUGAUUCUAAGAAGGGGCUGUGUUUAUACCCAGGUCUGUUAUUGAUUUGAUUCUAAGAAGGGGCUGUGUUUAUACCCAGGUCUGUUAUUGAUUUGAUUCUAAGAAGGGGCUGUGUUUAUACCCAGGUCUGUUAUUGAUUUGAUUCUAAGAAGGGGCUGUGUUUAUACCCAGGUCUUUAAUUGAUUUGAUUCUAAGAAGGGGCUGUGUUUAUACCCAGGUCUGUUAUUGAUUUGAUUCUAAGGGGCUGUGUUUAUACCCAGGUCUGUUAUUGAUUUGAUUCUAAGAAGGGGCUGUGUUUAUACCCAGGUCUUUAAUUGAUUUGAUUCUAAGAAGGGGCUGUGUUUAUACCCAGGUCUUUAAUUGAUUUGAUUCUAAGAAGGGGCUGUGUUUAUACCCAGGUCUUUUAUUGAUUUGAUUCUAAGAAGGGGCUGUGUUUAUACCCAGGUCUGUUAUUGAUUUGAUUCUAAGAAGGGGCUGUGUUUAUACCCAGGUCUGUUAUUGAUUUGAUUCUAAGAAGGGGCUGUGUUUAUACCCAGGUCUGUUAUUGAUUUGAUUCUAAGAAGGGGCUGUGUUUAUACCCAGGUCUGUUAUUGAUUUGAUUCUAAGAAGGGGCUGUGUUUAUACCCAGGUCUGUUAUUGAUUUGAUUCUAAGGGGCUGUGUUUAUACCCAGGUCUGUUAUUGAUUUGAUUCUAAGAAGGGGCUGUGUUUAUACCCAGGUCUGUUAUUGAUUUGAUUCUAAGAAGGGGCUGUGUUUAUACCCAGGUCUGUUAUUGAUUUGAUUCUAAGAAGGGGCUGUGUUUAUACCCAGGUCUGUUAUUGAUUUGAUUCUAAGAAGGGGCUGUGUUUAUACCCAGGUCUGUUAUUGAUUUGAUUCUAAGAAGGGGCUGUGUUUAUACCCAGGUCUGUUAUUGAUUUGAUUCUAAGAAGGGGCUGUGUUUAUACCCAGGUCUGUUAUUGAUUUGAUUCUAAGAAGGGGCUGUGUUUAUACCCAGGUCUGUUAUUGAUUUGAUUCUAAGAAGGGGCUGUGUUUAUACCCAGGUCUGUUAUUGAUUUGAUUCUAAGAAGGGGCUGUGUUUAUACCCAGGUCUGUUAUUGAUUUGAUUCUAAGAAGGGGCUGUGUUUAUACCCAGGUCUGUUAUUGAUUUGAUUCUAAGAG
This is a long non-coding RNA of Oncorhynchus keta (chum salmon), 4414 nucleotides long. RefSeq lists it as uncharacterized. The transcript is spliced from 12 exons. NCBI's taxonomy places the organism in Eukaryota, Metazoa, Chordata, Actinopteri, Salmoniformes, Salmonidae. The record is from RefSeq and is a predicted model, not a curated record.